UCGGGUGGGUUGCCGAUGCACGUCGCGGACCCGAGGUGACGGGCGGCACGUUAGAAACGCCGACCUACCGCGCUGGCAGUGCCCUCCCGCGCGCCCGGUUUUUGCCGGACGCGGAGAAGACGACGCGACGAGACGACGUCGCCGCCGGCACGGAAUCGACGCGGCCGGCCCGGUCUCGAAGCUCCCGCAGACACUGACCCGCGCACGCCCGAGACGGUGGGGCGCCGAGGGGCACGACGAGCGCGCCUUCGUCGACGAGAAGAGACCGGUUCGCUACGAUAUACGAUCGCGUUUCGUUCUCGUCCGCAGAGGGCAGUACGAGCCAAAAC
This 329-nucleotide ribosomal RNA is filed under the name Sepia officinalis (common cuttlefish). Its description in RNAcentral is "partial 28S ribosomal RNA". The record is from RNAcentral. Lineage: Eukaryota; Metazoa; Mollusca; Cephalopoda; Sepiida; Sepiidae.